UCUAGCUUAUGUAGGAAAUUUUCCAUUGCAUCCUAUCUCUAGCUUCACGCCUUCGGUUAUUAUUCAAGCCUACGGUGUUAAUACAGUCUGUAAAAAUACCACUUUGACACACUUUCAAGAAAUGAUCCGCUGGUUAGAUGUAGCAUGAUCUUAUUAUUUAAGUAUAAAAAACUCACCAGGGACAACGACAACAUUGGCAACCCUGCACUAUGAAUUAUUAUUUUGAUGUCAUCUUAAAUUAAGUGUCUGAACAGGACUGGGUGUGCAGGCACACAUGAUUAGUUUCUCCUCCGUCUUGAACCUGAAACCUAGAUUCUAGGUUAGAAAUGUUGCCAGUCUGUUGCCAAUGACCAACGGUUGCUACGCUUUUCCAGCAAGUUCAAGUCAUUCCAGUGUUGUCCUUUUACCUUCAAAUUCGUUCAACCCAGACUUCAGAAACUGGUUUUCUGCUAAAUUUUCACAUUUUCCUGCAGCUCAUCUUUCUGAAUUUUUGCCCUUAUUGUUUUGCAUUUUUCUUCUUCUUUUCUUCUCUUUUCUUCUGUUUUCUGCCUUCAUCUUGCUCCAGGUCCUUUCAAAAAUACCUUUCACAGCAGUACCUUCCAACUGCCAGUACUUUUGCAUUUUUCUUCUCUUUUCUGUACUUUUCUGCAAGUCUGAAUGUUUUUUCAUAUGGUGUUCUUGAGCGAAUUAUAUAAAAUAUAUAUUUUCACAUUUAAAAUAAAUGUUUUAUUUUAUUUAACUUAAAGUUGAUUGAAAAAAUCCUAACAUCAAAACCCGGUGGUGAACGUAUUGUCCACGAGUAUGAUAAGACCAAAAAUCUCACAGAUGCCACCAGAAGACAGAUGAUUAACAUACUUGCUGCUGAGAUGACAGAAACACAUGGGUAAGCAUUAGACAUAUGAUUUGCGUAAUUACUGUGUAGUUAUUAUUUUUCUUAUAUGUUGUGUGAUGCCAGUUGACUUUGAUGGUUUAAUUGAAUUUCAAAUACCUUCCCUAGGACAUCCCCCCCCAAAAAAGUGUCAGGGUGAUGUAUGCACAGGGGAUUGUUGCAUUCUUUCCUUAUCUGGAAGACCCAUAUUCACAACAUGGAUAUGUAAGUAAAGGUGUAAUUGCAACAUUAUACCCAUAUUCAUUAUUUUAAAUGUUUGUGUUAAUUUAUAUAUCUAUGUUCAUAUCUAAUUACAUAGGAACAUUAUUACGAUCCAGAGAGUGGGUCUGGAUACCUGGCAUGGCGUUUGAAGACCAUACAAAGAAAAAUCGCUGAAGAAAAAGGGGCCUCAGAAAGCAAAUCCCCCUAAACUGGUGGGCCAGGCCAUGGUAGACAACCCAUCACCAGUGACCAAGUACCAACUGACGAGGAGGUGGAAGCAGCCAUUGCUGUUUUGAGAUACUCUGCUAAUGAAGACACAAUCCGUGAGAAGAUGAAAACUACUUUUGUGUAUCGCCAAGCAAUGGUCAAUAAUGCAGACAAGUCAGCAGAUGUAUUUUUGGUCUUCCCACGGUUUUUGGACACAUCAGGACUGAUAGAACAAGACUUCAGACAUGUGUUUGGUGAGGCCACAGCCAACAAAUUCCUGGAGAAGUGGCCAACCACUUUCAAAGAAAAGGUGAUGAAGGAAAGCCAGGGACUCGUACCCACCACAGAACUCUUGGAUUUGAUGCGCAAUGCUGAGUCAGCUGUUGAGACUGAGAAUGGCUGGGACUGUGACAUAUCUGCCAUCCUGCUGCUGCUACAUUUGCUACCACCAGCCCCACAAGGGCAAAAGAGGCCAGGAAAGAUGUCUGCAUCUCAAGCAGCAGAUAAGCUCAU
Osmerus eperlanus (European smelt) is the source of this 1810-nucleotide long non-coding RNA. RefSeq lists it as uncharacterized. NCBI's taxonomy places the organism in Eukaryota, Metazoa, Chordata, Actinopteri, Osmeriformes, Osmeridae. The record is from RefSeq and is a predicted model, not a curated record. The transcript is spliced from 4 exons.